UCGGAUAUGGUGUAAUGGUUAACAUUACCGCCUCUCAUCGAUCCGUUCGCGGUAGCUCGGGGUUCGAUUCCCCGUAUCCGAA
RNAcentral lists this transfer RNA (82 nucleotides) under Suillus brevipes Sb2. RNAcentral's name for it is "tRNA-Glu". It matches the Rfam family "tRNA". From Rfam's summary of the family: Transfer RNA (tRNA) molecules are approximately 80 nucleotides in length. The record is from RNAcentral. Lineage: Eukaryota; Fungi; Basidiomycota; Agaricomycetes; Boletales; Suillaceae.